GGAAUGUGCAAACGUUAUUCGGAAUCACUGGGCUUAAAGAGUCCGUAGGCGGCCUGUUAGGUGAGGUGUGAAAUCCCCCGGCUCAACCGAGGAAUUGCGCUUCAAACCGGCAGGCUAGAGGAGGAUAGAGGUGGGCGGAACUGAUGGUGGAGCGGUGAAAUGCGUUGAUAUCAUCAGGAACACCGGAGGCGAAAGCGGUCCACUGGGUCCUUUCUGACGCUGAGGGACGAAAGCUAGGGGAGCGAACGGGAUUAGAUACCCCGGUAGUCCUAGCCUUAAACGAUGAAUGCUUGGUGUCUGGGGUUUUAUAGUCCCCGGGUGCCGUCGCUAACGCUUUAAGCAUUCCGCCUGGGGAGUACGGUCGCAAGACUG
This 372-nucleotide ribosomal RNA is filed under the name uncultured bacterium. RNAcentral's name for it is "bacterial SSU rRNA". It matches the Rfam family "Bacterial small subunit ribosomal RNA", at positions 527 to 896 of the family's 1533-position model. The record is from RNAcentral.